AUUGAACGCUGGCGGCAUGCUUUACACAUGCAAGUCGAACGGACUUAGGGGCUUGCUCCUGAGUUAGUGGCGAACGGGUGAGUAAUGCAUCGGAACGUACCGUGUAGUGGGGGAUAACGCAGCGAAAGUUGUGCUAAUACCGCAUACGAUCUACGGAUGAAAGCAGGGGAUCGCAAGACCUUGUGCUAUACGAGCGGCCGAUGUCGGAUUAGCUAGUUGGUGAGGUAAAGGCUCACCAAGGCGACGAUCCGUAGCGGGUCUGAGAGGAUGAUCCGCCACACUGGGACUGAGACACGGCCCAGACUCCUACGGGAGGCAGCAGUGGGGAAUUUUGGACAAUGGGCGCAAGCCUGAUCCAGCCAUGCCGCGUGAGU
This 374-nucleotide ribosomal RNA is filed under the name uncultured bacterium. RNAcentral's name for it is "bacterial SSU rRNA". It matches the Rfam family "Bacterial small subunit ribosomal RNA", at positions 30 to 406 of the family's 1533-position model. The record is from RNAcentral.